CGCCCGGGGAGCAGGCUGGCAGAGUGACCGGGAUUGAUGAGCGGCGCAGCUCUGGAGGGACGCGGGCGAGAGGGUCGCUCCUCGGGGAGAGGGCUGGAUAGAUGGAAUGUACAGCCAGAGGAUUGGAUGAGGUCAUCGACGGAGAGAAUGCAGAGAGAAUCCUGGGGCUCACCAACAUGAAGAAUUUGGGACAAGAAAGAAGAUCCAGCAGAGAAGACUGAAAGAAGGCAACUAAUGAAAUAGGAGAGAACCUGGAGAGCACAGAGUCUUAGAGGCCAAGAAAGUGGUUUAAUAUAAUCCGUAUCAAAGCAUUUGUGGUUUAUUUUUGUUAACUGACAAAAGGAUUCUAAAACAUACCUGAAAAGUAUAAUUCACACCUAGGAUAAUGGAUCAUUCUGUCACAUUGUUCCUUUUUCACAGCUGAUAUGAACAUGAUAUUUUCAUGACUUUGUAAAAUAAAAAUGGAAUCUUUCUAAUUUUUUUAAAAAAACUGCUUACUUAUGCAAGCCUUCUGUCUCUCACUGUAUAACCCCUCCACUUUUAUACGGGUCACACAUGUUUCUGUCACUUUCCUGGAGCCCUUGUAGCAAAUUAAUAACAUGUAGCACAUGCUUGAAGAAAAAUUUGUCUAGGACAUUUUGUUUUUGAGAUUCAUAAAUUGACUCUAUUUUACAUAAGAAUCUAUUAUGCCAUAGGAAGCUUAUUAAACCCUUGAGCAGG
This 720-nucleotide long non-coding RNA is filed under the name Homo sapiens (human). Its description in RNAcentral is "non-protein coding lnc-RAP1GDS1-3:3". Lineage: Eukaryota; Metazoa; Chordata; Mammalia; Primates; Hominidae. The record is from RNAcentral.